UCGUGUCGUGAGAUGUUGGGUUAAGUCCCGCAACGAGCGCAACCCUCACCUCUUGUUGCCACCAGGUCAUGCUGGGCACUCUAGAGGAACUGCCCCGGUCAACGGGGAGGAAGGCGGGGAUGACGACAAGUCAUCAUGCCCCUUACGUCCUGGGCUACACACGUGCUACAAUGGCCGGUACAAAGGGGUGCCACACCGCGAGGUAGAGCUAAACCCAAAAAGCCGGUCUAAGUUCAGAUUGGAGUCUGCAACUCGACUCCAUGAAGGAGGAAUCGCUAGUAAUCGC
RNAcentral lists this ribosomal RNA (286 nucleotides) under uncultured Methylomirabilota bacterium. Its description in RNAcentral is "uncultured candidate division NC10 bacterium partial 16S ribosomal RNA". It matches the Rfam family "Bacterial small subunit ribosomal RNA", at positions 1060 to 1345 of the family's 1533-position model. The record is from RNAcentral. Lineage: Bacteria; Methylomirabilota (SeqCode).